Molecule: ribosomal RNA, 492 nt
Filed under: uncultured Roseobacter sp.
Lineage: Bacteria; Pseudomonadati; Pseudomonadota; Alphaproteobacteria; Rhodobacterales; Roseobacteraceae
Description: bacterial SSU rRNA
Rfam family: Bacterial small subunit ribosomal RNA
Source: RNAcentral
UGCCGCGUGAGUGAUGAAGGCCUUAGGGUCGUAAAGCUCUUUCGCCAGAGAUGAUAAUGACAGUAUCUGGUAAAGAAACCCCGGCUAACUCCGUGCCAGCAGCCGCGGUAAUACGGAGGGGGUUAGCGUUGUUCGGAAUUACUGGGCGUAAAGCGUACGUAGGCGGAUUAGUCAGUCAGAGGUGAAAUCCCAGGGCUCAACCCUGGAACUGCCUUUGAUACUGCUAGUCUUGAGUUCGAGAGAGGUGAGUGGAAUUCCAAGUGUAGAGGUGAAAUUCGUAGAUAUUUGGAGGAACACCAGUGGCGAAGGCGGCUCACUGGCUCGAUACUGACGCUGAGGUACGAAAGUGUGGGGAGCAAACAGGAUUAGAUACCCUGGUAGUCCACACCGUAAACGAUGAAUGCCAGUCGUCGGGCAGUAUACUGUUCGGUGACACACCUAACGGAUUAAGCAUUCCGCCUGGGGAGUACGGUCGCAAGAUUAAAACUCAAA